UACAGAGGGUGCAAGCGUUAAUCGGAAUUACUGGGCGUAAAGCGUGCGUAGACGGUUACAUAAGUCGGGUGUGAAAGCCCCGGGCUCAACCUGGGAAUGGCAUUUGAUACUCGAGGGCUUGAGUACGGGAGAGGAGAGUGGAAUUCCCAGUGUAGAGGUGAAAUUCGUAGAUAUUGGGAAGAACACCGGUGGCGAAGGCGGCUCUCUGGACCGUAACUGACGCUGAGGCGCGAAAGCGUGGGGAGCAAACAGG
This 253-nucleotide ribosomal RNA is filed under the name uncultured bacterium. RNAcentral's name for it is "partial 16S ribosomal RNA". It matches the Rfam family "Bacterial small subunit ribosomal RNA", at positions 524 to 776 of the family's 1533-position model. The record is from RNAcentral.